RNAcentral lists this non-coding RNA (95 nucleotides) under bovine gut metagenome. RNAcentral describes it as "SAM riboswitch (S box leader)". It matches the Rfam family "SAM riboswitch aptamer (S box leader)". Rfam says of the family: The SAM riboswitch is found upstream of a number of genes which code for proteins involved in methionine or cysteine biosynthesis in Gram-positive bacteria. The SAM riboswitch acts at the level of transcription termination control. The predicted structure consists of a complex stem-loop region followed by a single stem loop terminator region. The record is from RNAcentral.
CCUUAUAGAGAGUAACGGAGGGACAGGCCCUGUGAAGUUACGGCAACCUGCAUUUGCAAGGUGCUAAAUCCUACGGUGAAAACCGAAAGAUAAGG